RNAcentral lists this ribosomal RNA (273 nucleotides) under uncultured bacterium. RNAcentral's name for it is "partial 16S ribosomal RNA". It matches the Rfam family "Bacterial small subunit ribosomal RNA", at positions 523 to 796 of the family's 1533-position model. The record is from RNAcentral.
AUACGUAGGGUGCAAGCGUUGUUCGGAAUUAUUGGGUGUAAAGCGGAUGUAGGUGGCUUACUAAGCCAGAUGUGAAAGCCCGGGGCUUAACCCCGGACGUGCAUUUGGAACUGGUAAGCUAGAGUGUGUUAUGGGAGUGCGGAAUUCCUGGUGUAGCGGUGAAAUGCGUAGAUAUCAGGAGGAACAUUCGUGGCGAAGGCGGCGCUCUGGGCGACACUGACACUGAGAUCCGAAAGCAUGGGUAGCAAACAGGAUUAGAAACCCCUGUAGUCC